AUUUAGCAGAACCAGACACCAAAUCUGCAAUACUACUGGCACAUGUUUUGCUUUACAAUCAGAUUGCAAUUCUAUAACAAACAUUUGGCAAAACGCAACACACAAUUCUCUACCUUUGGCACAAUCUUCACAACUAAAAUCUCUUGUGCAAAUGAAAAGCAACACUGUUCAACGAGCUAAACUCAAUGUAUCCCUUUCACUCUUCACAUGUGCAAACACUAAUUGUGUAAAUGUUCACUUUGCAAUCAGACCUUUGGUAUGGAUAAAAUGGCCACUCCUGUGUUUGGAAAACAAUGGAAGCAAACUUUGCACAGAGAGGUGGAGGGUGGAGGAAGACCUAGAACAAGGACAAGGACAGUGAUCUCUGAUGAAAUUUGGGCAACUGUGGUGGACCAUGUGGUCAACCAUGGUUUGACCUUGAGAGAGGCUGGGCAGAGAGUGCUGCCCAAUCUGAGCCGCUUCACCGUAAGCAUCCAUCAUCCGGAAGUACCAAGAUGAGAAUAGGGGUGAGAAGAGCUGACCAAUCAGAACUGAGGAGGAUUGUUACAGAGCCCCAUGAUGAACACCUGAUGCUGCACUGACUUCUCUCUCCUGGGAGCUCUCCUCUCCAAACUGUCCCGUUGUGUGUUUCACCGCCUCAGAGGCACGCCUCUGCCGUAAAUGUACCCAAGUGAUGCUGUAGUAUAUUUUACAGUAACACACAGUUACAGUAUUAAGCUCGUAGCUCUGAAUUUACAGGGAAAAGCUUGACAGUGUAGCCUCUGUUGCCUACGGUCAGGUUUUGGAGACUAGCGGAUGGAAGGGGUCUCACCCCACUGAAACCCUUCAGGCUUUGCUCUCCAUUACACUCACAACUCCUGUUUUAUCAUGUGGAGGGGGCUCUGGAGCGCAGCCCAGACCAGCUGAUUACUUCCAGACACUGCUCUGGAGUCUGUUAAAAAUCUCUCCACACACACGCGCGCACACACACACACACACACACACUAAUGCAUACAGUAUUAGCAUCACACAGACACACACACUCAGUAUUAGUGUGUGACAGUAUACAGUAUUGAACACACCAACGCUUUAAUCAGCAUAUACCAGUGCAACACAAUCCAACACACAGUCCAACCUGGUUUUUAUCUGUCCAACCAAUGACUCAGAGACGAUGAGUAGCAGUUGAGUGGUGAACAAGUCGGUAUGGAAUGUUAUUUCAUACACUGCACUGUGGAGGAGGGGAGCGAAUACAGGAAUAAAGAGUUGGUUCAGACAUACACCCUGCUUACUAUAUUUGUGUGCCUAUGAACGGCGUGCAUAGAAAUCUCUAUCACUACUUUCUGUAUUAUCUGUACCAUCUGUACUUCUAUCUGUCUCCCCCUACUACUGUAAAUAUUUACCUGUCCCCACGCAGGCUAGCGA
This is a long non-coding RNA of Oncorhynchus tshawytscha (Chinook salmon), 1401 nucleotides long. The record is from Ensembl. Lineage: Eukaryota; Metazoa; Chordata; Actinopteri; Salmoniformes; Salmonidae.